RNAcentral lists this ribosomal RNA (272 nucleotides) under uncultured Staphylococcus sp. Its description in RNAcentral is "partial 16S ribosomal RNA". It matches the Rfam family "Bacterial small subunit ribosomal RNA", at positions 90 to 355 of the family's 1533-position model. Lineage: Bacteria; Bacillati; Bacillota; Bacilli; Caryophanales; Staphylococcaceae. The record is from RNAcentral.
CGUUAGCGGCGGACGGGUGAGUAACACGUGGGUAACCUACCUAUAAGACUGGGAUAACUUCGGGAAACCGGAGCUAAUACCGGAUAAUAUUUCGAACCGCAUGGUUCGACAGUGAAAGAUGGUUUUGCUAUCACUUAUAGAUGGACCCGCGCCGUAUUAGCUAGUUGGUAAGGUAACGGCUUACCAAGGCGACGAUACGUAGCCGACCUGAGAGGGUGAUCGGCCACACUGGAACUGAGACACGGUCCAGACUCCUACGGGAGGCAGCAGCU